CCCUCACUUUUCCGCCUUAAAUAAUUGUUGAGCCUCUUUCCUGUAUGCUUAUGAUUCCGAAUCCCGCAGCUGGUUUUUGAAGGCCAGCCUUUCGAGUUGUUGUUGUCGAUCAGUAAUUCUCGGUCUUGACUCCUUGUCCUCCCAUACACGGUUCUAAGGCGGGCCUGGAAUUCUGUCCAGGGUCAAUCCUACACAUCCCACGCUGCCGAGAGAUGCUUCAAAGUGGACGAAGAGUGAGAGCUCGGGAGGAAGGGUGGAUCACCUCAGAUUUCGCUUACUUAGAUGACUCCUCUAUUCACUUGUUCAUCGUAGAUUGAACCGUUUUGAGCCCUCCACCGACCGCCCGCAAUAUUCAAAGUACGAAUGGUCAAGGUUUUGUCAAGAGUCUUUGAAGCAGCAACGUUUCUUUCUUUCAACGAGACUUGUAUUUUAUUGGGAGAAAUUGUUGGAUGAGCUUGUCGUGGAAAACCCCACCUUACCUUGUAGCUUUAAGAUUUUAAAGCUAAUGAACGGGAAACCAUCCACAGUAUAAGUUGAACACAAAGUCAGACAGCUGAGAAACCAACUUGAUUGGGAGCGGAGAUGGCCUUGGUAACAGCAAAGUGGAACAGGCCUCCCAACGUAUUUCAUAAACCUCUUUUUGGAGGAGGAGAGACUGGCAAGGCUCAAUGAGCCUGGCGCCUUUGAGGAAGGUUUUCAACUAGCAGUGCGGAAUAUUAGAGCCUUGGCAGGGUUUGAUUGUUACAGCUAUACAUGGGCUGACCUUCUAUCUGGGACGGCGUCAUCUGUCAUCUCAUUUGUUUAAAUGCCCAGGGACGGCCAACUAUUACUGAAGGCUGACGGCCCACGAUCAAAAUGGGUGAAACCAUCCCUCCUCCUCCUCCUCCUCCUCCACCCAAGCAACUCCCUCAAUCAAUCUAUCAACGGAGAAAACCCAAUCGGUCUUGGAAGGUGCUGAAAGAUAGUGGAUUUGGGAGUCAGGCGGACAGGGAGUUGCCACAGUGGCCAGGGAACCACGAGGGAGGGACUCGCAUGAAGUGAACGUGGUUUGGGUGGAUCAUAUUGUGUAACCCAAUGUGGCAGAGCUCGUAUCCAGUAAAUUCCCUGAUUAAAGACGUCUCAAUUUAACUGGAGGUCUAUCCAACUAUCACCGUAUACCCUUGUAGGGUUUGCUCUCAUUAGGAAACGGAGCUAAAACGACGAGUUAGGCCUUACCUUGGAUCGGUUUUCACCCUCCAUUCUUUCAAGAGGUUACUGCUAAUCAUUUCCAAUGAAUAUAGUCCAAUUUUCACGUAUAUUAUUGUUAAUAACUCAAGAUGAUUGACAUUGGAAUUCCAGGAUCGUGUAGUAAUUGGCCCCUUUUUCGCUCUGUAGUUAAUAAAACACGUUUGAUUAACUUUCAAGAAGUGCUUGGAUUUUUCUGGCAACCACUGACAUCAAAAAUAUUUUGGAACUUUACAUACACGAAUUCUUGUCACUCGUAAUCUUUAUUCGCACAAUUCAAAUUUCUUGGUUCGUCCAUCUUGUAUCACCCAAACUUGGACAGCUGAAAAACUUGAACAAAUUGGAGUGUACCCAUCGGGACUAACCUCCCACUUGACAAUGCUAGCCGGAAAAUUGAAGUCCCCUACUGUUAUGUCCUUACUCUUGCUUUUACUCUUACCCUCACACUCGCAAUAAUCACUACUCUUCUAUGUAAACUUCUCCUGUUAAAAUAAACUGGUCCGUCCGCCAUUACCUUCAUGAUUUAACACCUACAAAAAAACCUUUGAGGAAGCUGACCGGUCCAACUCCUUUCAUGUGAAAUCGAGAGCUGAUUCACUGAAUACUUAAAACGAUAUUUGGGCUUACAUGUUUAAGGUGGAUUAUUAUACUAAUCUGAGAAUCGAACCGGGGACGCCUCUCAUGCUAGGAAUACCAUAAUUAACUAAUUGAGGGAAUGUACUGCAAUGUUUGUGGAUAAUUUCUUCGCCCUUUCAUCGCAAAGCAUAUUGUUGGAAAUUGAUUUUAAAAAAGCUAAAUAAUGAACUACAAAUGACGCAUUCAUCUUCGUUUCACAAAAUUUUUUCGUUCACACCAUACUUGGAUUUGCAAUAUUUUUGGUCACACAUUUCACAAAUUGAAAAAUUGAUGAAAGAAAAACACGAGACUUUUCUUGGUUAAAUCUGCUUCCGUAAGUACCAUGCAUGAAAAAGUCAGAUUUUUUUUAAUGGGCUGAUCAUGAUUAUUGUUGACGUUGGUAUAAUAUCUCGCCACCGCAUCCUCGUUGUGUGUACAAAGAUAAAUCAUCUCAAAUUUAUAUUGAACAGAUGCAAAUCCAUUCUAUUUUUGCCUUUUAAAAACCGUUUCAAAUAGGUAUGUAGCUAAAACAAAAAAUCCACCCUCCAACAACACCUCACCUGGGAUUUGUGCCUAUGCACACAUGUUAAAGAAUUGAAAAAGCAAUAUGGUUACCGAAGCCACAUUAGUAUUUGAUAUUCGUCCCUUCGAGCAUCAUGGUCCCAAAAAUACAUUGUAAAAAUGUGUUGUUUUUGUGUGGAGCUUAUUGUGCGGUCACGAUGCUACACA
RNA transcript from Tigriopus californicus, 2568 nucleotides. RefSeq lists it as uncharacterized. The record is from RefSeq and is a predicted model, not a curated record. NCBI's taxonomy places the organism in Eukaryota, Metazoa, Arthropoda, Copepoda, Harpacticoida, Harpacticidae. The transcript has 3 exons.